RNAcentral lists this ribosomal RNA (439 nucleotides) under uncultured bacterium. RNAcentral describes it as "partial 16S ribosomal RNA". It matches the Rfam family "Bacterial small subunit ribosomal RNA", at positions 339 to 795 of the family's 1533-position model. The record is from RNAcentral.
CUACGGGUGGCACCAGUGGGGAAUCUUAGACAAUGGGGGAAACCCUGAUCUAGCCAUGCCGCGUGAGUGAUGAAGGCCUUAGGGUUGUAAAGCUCUUUCAGCUGGGAAGAUAAUGACGGUACCAGCAGAAGAAGCCCCGGCUAACUCCGUGCCAGCAGCCGCGGUAAUACGGAGGGGGCUAGCGUUGUUCGGAAUUACUGGGCGUAAAGCGCACGUAGGCGGAUUGGAAAGUUGGGGGUGAAAUCCCGGGGCUCAACCCCGGAACUGCCUUCAAAACUCCCAGUCUUGAGUUCGAGAGAGGUGAGUGGAAUUCCGAGUGUAGAGGUGAAAUUCGUAGAUAUUCGGGGGAACACCAGUGGCGAAGGCGGCUCACUGGCUCGAUACUGACGCUGAGGUGCGAAAGCGUGGGGAGCAAACAGGAUUAGAUACCCCGGUAGUC